Molecule: unclassified non-coding RNA, 704 nt
Filed under: Hevea brasiliensis (rubber tree)
Lineage: Eukaryota; Viridiplantae; Streptophyta; Magnoliopsida; Malpighiales; Euphorbiaceae
Source: RNAcentral
AUUCGCCGCCCUCCGGCCGCGGCCGCUCUUUGUCUCCGACAACGAUGGAUCGGGAGAAGCUCAUGAAGAUGGCAGGUGCAGUUCGCACUGGUGGAAAGGGCAGUGUGCGCAGGAAGAAGAAGGCAGUUCACAAGACCACAACUACAGAUGACAAGAGGCUUCAGAGCACCCUGAAAAGGAUAGGGGUAAAUGCUAUCCCUGCUAUAGAAGAAGUAAACAUUUUCAAAGAUGAUGUUGUCAUCCAGUUCCAGAACCCCAAAGUUCAAGCGUCAAUUGCUGCCAAUACCUGGGUGAUUAGCGGCUCACCUCAGACAAAAAGACUUCAGGAUCUCCUGCCUACAAUCAUCAACCAAUUGGGUCCCGACAAUUUGGAUAACCUGAGAAGGCUUGCAGAGCAGUUCCAGAAGCAGGCUCCAGGCGGCGCUGCCGCUGCCGCUACCGCAGCUCCGAUUCAGGAGGACGAUGAUGACGAUGAUCAUAUCCCUGAUCUUGUGCCUGGAGAGACAUUUGAAGCUGCUGCGGCUGAAGAAAAGGUAGCUUCAUAGAGGUCAUUGUUUCUAAUGAAACUUCCAAAUCCAGGCAGUCUUGCAAGGUUCUGUCCUUCAAUAUUUUUCUCUUGCGUGUAAUAGUUCAUCUGAUAGAGUUGAAUUAUGAGGUUUCUGUUUCUCUGCUCUUUAUAUUUGACUCUUUUUUUUGUGGACAUG